This 839-nucleotide long non-coding RNA is filed under the name Homo sapiens (human). Its description in RNAcentral is "HSALNT0326445". Lineage: Eukaryota; Metazoa; Chordata; Mammalia; Primates; Hominidae. The record is from RNAcentral.
AAAUAUCCACUUAAAGACAUUACAAACAGAGUGUUUCCUAACUGCUCUAUGAAAAGAAAGGUUAAACUCUGUGAGUUGAACGCACACAUCACAAAGAAGUUUCUGAGAAUCAUUCUGUCUAGUUUUUAUACGAAGAUAUUUCCUUUUCUACCAUUGACCUCAAAGCGGCUGAAAUCUCCACUUGCAAAUUCCACAAAAAGAGUGUUUCAAAUCUGCUCUGUGUAAACCAUCGUUCAACUCUGUGAGUUGAAUACACACAACACAAGGAAGAUUCUGAGAAUUCUUCUGUCUAGCAGAAUAUGAAGAAAUCCCGUUUCCAACGAAGGCCACAAGAUGUCAGAAUAUCCACUUACAGAAUUUACAAACAGAGUGUUUCCUAACUGCUCUAUGAAAAGAAAGGUUAAACUCUGUGAGUUGAACGAACACAUCACAACGCAGUUUGUGGGAAUGAUUCUGUCUAGUUUUGAAACGAAGAUAUUUCCUUUUCUGCCAUUGACCUUAAAGCGCUUCAAAUCUCCACUUGCCAAUUGCACAAAAAGAGUGUUUCAAAUCUGCUCUGUCUAAGGGAACGUUCAACUCUGUGAGUUGAAUGUACACAACACAAGGAAGUUACUGGGAAUUAUUCUGUCUAGCCUUACAUGAAAAAAACCCGUUUCCAACGAAGGCCUCUAAGUGGUCAAAAUAUCCACGUGCAGACUUUACAAACAGAGUGUUUCCAAACUGCUGAAUGAAAAGAAAAGUUAAACUCUGAGAGCUGAACGCACACAUCGCAGAGCAGUUUCUGAGAAUGAUUCUGUCUAGUUUUUAUACGAAGAUAUUUGCUUUUCUACCUUUGGCCU